RNAcentral lists this long non-coding RNA (916 nucleotides) under Mytilus galloprovincialis (Mediterranean mussel). Lineage: Eukaryota; Metazoa; Mollusca; Bivalvia; Mytilida; Mytilidae. The record is from RNAcentral.
AACAACCACUUUUUAUACGACCGCAAAAUUUGAAAAAUUUUUCGUCGUAUAUUGCUAUCACGUUGGCGUCGGCGUCGUCGUCGUCGUCGUCGUCCUGCGUCCGAAUACUUUUAGUUUUCGCACUCUAACUUUAGUAAAAGUGAAUGGAAAUCUAUGAAAUUUUAACACAAGGUUUAUGACCACAAAAGGAAGGUUGGUAUUGAUUUUGGGAGUUUUGGUCCCAACAUUUAGGAAUUAGGGCCAAAAAGGGCCCAAAUAAGCAUUUUCUUGGUUUUCGCACUAUAACUUUAGUUUAAGUUAAUAGAAAUCUAUGAAAUUUUGACACAAGGUUUAUGACCACAAAAGAACAGUUGGGAUUGAUUUUGGGAGUUUUGGUUUCAACAGUUUAGGAAUUAGGGGCCAAAAAAGGGCCCAAAUAAGCAUUAUUCUUGGUUUUCGCACAAUAACUUUAGUUUAAGUAAAUAGAAAUCAAUGAAAUUUAAACACAAUGUUAAUGACUACAAAAGGAAGGUUGGUUUUGAUUUUGGGAGUUUAGGUCCCAACAGUUUAGGAAUUAGGGGCCAAAAAGGGACCCAAAUAAGCAUUUUUCUUGGUUUUCGCACCAUAACGUUAGUAUAAGUAAAUAGAAAUCUAUGAAAUUUAAACACAAGGUUUAUGACCAUAAAAGGAAGGUUGUAUUGAUUUUGGGAGUUUUGGUCCCAACAGAAUAAGGGGCCCAAAGGGUCCAAAAUUAAACUUUGUUUGAUUUCAUCAAAAUUGAAUAAUUGGGGUUCUUUGAUAUGCCGAAUCUAACUGUCAUGACUGUGUAUGUAGAUUCUUAACCUUUGGUCCCCUUUUCAAAUUGGUCUACAUUAAGGUCCAAAGGGUCCAAAAUUAAACUUAGUUUGAUUUUGACAAAAAAUGAAUCAGUUAGGUU